Molecule: ribosomal RNA, 484 nt
Filed under: uncultured bacterium
Lineage: Bacteria
Description: partial 16S ribosomal RNA
Rfam family: Bacterial small subunit ribosomal RNA
Source: RNAcentral
GACGAACGCUGGCGGCGUGCUUAACACAUGCAAGUCGAACGAUGAAGCUGGAGCUUGCUCCGGUGAAUCAGUGGCGAACGGGUGAGUAACACGUGAGCAAUCUGCCCUUGACUCUGGGAUAACUGCGGGAAACUGUAGCUAAUACCGGAUACUUUCACUGGAAGGCAUCUUCUGGUGAAGAAAGAAUUUCGGUCAAGGAUGAGCUCGCGGCCUAUCAGCUUGUUGGUGAGGUAACGGCUCACCAAGGCGACGACGGGUAGCCGGCCUGAGAGGGUGAGCGGCCACACUGGGACUGAGACACGGCCCAGACUCCGUCGGGAGGCAGCAGUGGGGAAUAUUGCACAAUGGGCGCAAGCCUGAUGCAGCAACGCCGCGUGAGGGAUGAAGGCCUUCGGGUUGUAAACCUCUUUUAGCAGGGAAGAAGCGAAAGUGACGGUACCUGCAGAAAAAGCACCGGCUAACUACGUGCCAGCCGCCGCAGUAA